Molecule: ribosomal RNA, 248 nt
Filed under: uncultured bacterium
Lineage: Bacteria
Description: partial small subunit ribosomal RNA
Rfam family: Bacterial small subunit ribosomal RNA
Source: RNAcentral
AGAAUCAACGCUGGCGGCGUGCCUAACACAUGCAAGUCGAACGAGAAAGUGGUAGCAAUACCAUGAGUAAAGUGGCGCACGGGUGAGUAACACGUGACUAACCUACCCUUGAGUGGGGGAUAACUGAGGGAAACCUUAGCUAAUACCGCAUAAUACCCACGGGUCAAAGGAGCAAUUCGCUCGAGGAGGGGGUCGCGGCCGAAUUAGUUAGUUGGCAGGGUAAUGGCCUACCAAGACGAUGAUCGGUA